Molecule: ribosomal RNA, 300 nt
Filed under: uncultured Alteromonadaceae bacterium
Lineage: Bacteria; Pseudomonadati; Pseudomonadota; Gammaproteobacteria; Alteromonadales; Alteromonadaceae
Description: bacterial SSU rRNA
Rfam family: Bacterial small subunit ribosomal RNA
Source: RNAcentral
GCGUGGGAAUCUACCCAGUAGUGGGGACGAACAGUUGGAACGAACUGCUAAUACCGCAUACGCCCUAACGGGGGAAAGGGAAGGGGACGUCUUCGGAGCCUUUCGUCUAUUGGAUGAGCCCGCGUGAGAUUAGAUAGUUGGUGGGGUAAAGGCCUACCAAGUCUACGAUCUCUAGCUGGUCUGAGAGGAUGAUCAGCCACACUGGAACUGAGACACGGUCCAGACUCCUACGGGAGGCAGCAGUGGGGAAUAUUGCACAAUGGGGGAAACCCGUGAUGCAGCCAUGCCGCGUGUGUGAAG